This 210-nucleotide ribosomal RNA is filed under the name Campeiostachys nutans. Its description in RNAcentral is "Elymus nutans partial small subunit ribosomal RNA". The stretch from base 39 to 210 matches the Rfam family "Eukaryotic small subunit ribosomal RNA", at positions 692 to 864 of the family's 1831-position model. The record is from RNAcentral. Lineage: Eukaryota; Viridiplantae; Streptophyta; Magnoliopsida; Poales; Poaceae.
GACCUGGUCGGGCUUCACUGUCCGCACUGGCUUGGUGGAUUCCUACCUUCUGAAUAACCAGCAUGCUAUUAAGUUAGUGCGUUGGGGAAGCAGAGCUAUUACCUUGAAAAAAUUAGAGUGCUUAAAGCAGGCUUGUGCUUGAAUAGAUUAGCAUGGAAUAAUAAAAUAGGACGGCAUGGUUCUAUUUUGUUAGUUUCUAGGAUCACCGUA